GCAUGUGGACUCCUACUGCUCC
This 22-nucleotide microRNA is filed under the name Chrysemys picta (Painted turtle). Its description in RNAcentral is "cpi-miR-2184-3p". The record is from miRBase by way of RNAcentral. Lineage: Eukaryota; Metazoa; Chordata; Testudines; Emydidae.